GUUUAAAAGUCAAAGAACUUGGCGGUGUUACGAAUUCGGUCAGGGGAGCUUGGUGGUUAAUUCGAUGAUCCGCGAGAACCUUACCCCAUAUGUUUCUAUCUGUACGGCCGUUGAUAGUUUAUCCUAAAGGGAUAGGCGCAAUUCCUUAUUAUGUCUAAGUACAGGUAAUAAGGUAGAAUUCAGGUAAAUGUGGAGGAUGUGAUGGGGCCUUAGCUGAGCUACAAUUUUUAAUUUAAACGGACUUCACCUGAAAAAGUGAAAGUGGACAAGUAGAAUAUAAGUUUGAAGAGAACUUGUAUUGCUAAAGACUACGAAGAAGGUGGACUUGAAAGUAAGAAGGAGAAAAGAAAGCCUUUCUGAAUAGUUAAACGUAACGCGUACAAACCGCCCAGCGCUCUUGUAUUAAAAAGUCUAGAUAAGUCGUAACAUGGUAGGAGU
RNAcentral lists this ribosomal RNA (438 nucleotides) under Tridacna maxima. Its description in RNAcentral is "partial 12S ribosomal RNA". It matches the Rfam family "Bacterial small subunit ribosomal RNA", at positions 892 to 1503 of the family's 1533-position model. The record is from RNAcentral. Lineage: Eukaryota; Metazoa; Mollusca; Bivalvia; Cardiida; Cardiidae.